CAAUCCAAUAAACAAGAUUAACUAAGAAAUUCAAAGAAAUUGAAAGCAUAAUCAGGAAAUUUCAAGCUCUUAUCUUGUUCAUUCAAGGGGCGUGAAGGAAGAGGGCUCGAGUGCUAAGAAAUCGGAAGGGGUACAAGAUCGAGGUAAAACUCCACUUUAGGCGAUCUGGAGAUUUGGAGCGAGCACGUGUCCAUGCCUUAUUUUAUCAAGCGCUUCCGCUAGUUUAUAUGCAUACUUUUUGGGUCCAUGUCUUGUUAUUUUGUUUAAUCUUGUUAGAAGUCAUACACUUGAAAACUUGUUGUCUUUGUUUGGGGUAGUUUAAUGCUAAUAGGGUUGUA
Helianthus annuus (common sunflower) is the source of this 338-nucleotide long non-coding RNA. RefSeq lists it as uncharacterized. NCBI's taxonomy places the organism in Eukaryota, Viridiplantae, Streptophyta, Magnoliopsida, Asterales, Asteraceae. The record is from RefSeq and is a predicted model, not a curated record. The transcript has 3 exons.